Rattus norvegicus (Norway rat) is the source of this 4720-nucleotide non-coding RNA. NCBI's taxonomy places the organism in Eukaryota, Metazoa, Chordata, Mammalia, Rodentia, Muridae. The record is from RefSeq and is a predicted model, not a curated record.
GUCUAGCAUGGCUUCCCUCUGUGAGAUUCCACUAAGCUGCUGACUCAGACAGAAGCAGGCAUCAUCUAGUCAAACCACGGUGGAGCUUGGGGACUCUGAUGGAAGAAGAGAAUGAAAAGGAUUAUGGCCUCUAAGGAUAUAGGCACUCCACAGGCUUUGUCUUCAUGCAGGCUAUGGUGUUGUGAAGACAAGAUACCACAUGUGCAGCUGUGAAUAAGUCUGAGAAGGCUGACUUCUUGGAUUUCUGAAGCAUUACUAAGUGAUCCAGAGGAAAUCAGCACCCCCUGCUCAGCAGAGCUCUGGGAAUGCUGACACUCUUGCUUCAUGUUUAUAUUAACCUAGGUCAAAAGAUCACCUGUCAGGGUCUCCGGGGAAGGCAUCAUCCCAACCUUCCAGCAUCAGUGAGCAAGUGCAACAGAUUAAGAAGUUUGUAGAAAUUGACUAAGGAGCUCCAGAAGAUGACAUGUGAGUUGGAAAAUUCUCGUGCAUAGGUAACCAUUGCACCAACAGCAUUUGAAGAGAAGUAGUCAUUGUACCCACUUCUUUGUAGACAGUCCUGACCCCUGUGUGAUAACCUCAGUUUUCUCAGACCACAGGAAAAUGCAACUGUAAUGUCCUCAUGUACAAAUUAAUUUUCUUAUGUUCCUCUCAGAAUCACAACAUAAAGAAAGGAUAGUAGUGUGAUAGGAAGCUAUUUUAUUUCUCAGAAAUGCAGAAGCAGUGGUUUGAAUAAGUGUCUUGGGUUACGGAAAGUAAUGUGUGAGCUCUCAUCAUGGAUUUUAAUAGACAGAGAAUGUAUUUUCUGUCCUCAGACACACAGAAAGUUGGUAAGCUACAGAAGCAUAGUAACUUAAACUUAGAUAAGUAAACUUUUAUUUUUUUAUUUAAAGUUUUAUUUUAUUUGUUUUCAAUGAGUAUCUGUAACUCUCAGACACAACAGAAGUGGAAGUUUAAUGCCAUUAUACAUGGUUUUAUGCCACUAUGAUUUUGCUGGUAGUUGAACUCAGGACCUAUGGAAAAACAGUUAGGACUCUUAAAUGCUGAAUCAUCUUGCCAGUCUAAAUUACUUUUGACGAUGAUGGUGAUGAAGAUGAUGAUGAUGAUGAUGAUUACCAUUAUUAUUAUUAUACUUAAACUCUAAAGGGAUCAAGAUUUCCCCUCCUCCAAAGCUCUUUCCCCUCUCCUGUCUCAAGAUAUCCUACAAUAAAGAAGAUACCAUCACAGCUUCCCAUCCUCCCCAGCACUGAAGAAAGAAAAGUUUUACUUUGUCAUGGUUAUGGACAUAUUCUUGUUUACUGGGCUCAGAGCUUCAGAUCUGAUGGAGGGAGACUAUGGAAAUGGAAUCUCCUUUGGAGGAAUCUGCUUACCUUGUAGGAACGGGGAAACAGUGAGCAAAAGUAAGAUGUUGUUCCACGACUUCAUCCCUUGCUAAGAAAAAAGUCUAUUUUUCACAGCUUGGGAACUGGGUAAGCAGUCUAAGCAAGCAUGGCUAAUAAGCCAAACCAGAUGGGUAAACAUUUGUCCAUUGGAUACGAAGGGGGAGCAUUUAAUUGACUAUGCUGACUGUAUCUCCUGUCCACUGUGUUCUAAUCCCAUGCAAGGAAAGUUCGGUGGAUUUUGUCUGUCCUGUGUCAGAACAAUAGUGUUUUCCAUUCUGAAUGCUUUUUCUUCACUGAUAUGAACCUUGAGAGAACAGUGGGAGCCAUGGAAAGCCACAGCCAACAACAUUCUACAUUCUAGAAUAUCAAGGGCUUCUCUUAAGAAACACUUUCUUGUAGUUGUGAAUUCAGCAGGGAGGAAAAUUACAACCAACCUCUGAUCAAGCAGCAUAAAAAUUAGCACGAGAUAAAGAAAGACUUAAAAUUGAGUCAGAUCUCUGAUACAUAACAAGAAGUGGACCCUGGCACUGUCACAAAUAACAUUAAGGUUAUUUUGUUGAGCAAGAGUUACUCUCCUGGAGUCCUCAGAUGUUCAUAUGUGGUUGAAAAUCUGUCACAGAAGACUGUAUUGAUAUCAUACUCUAAUCCAGAGAGACCAUACAAAAAAGUAUAUUAUUCCUUCUGGAGUAUUGGUUGAAAUUAAUUCACAUCACACAUUUGUAUGUGAGGCUUAAAUUAAUGUUCUACCUAGACAAAAGCAUUAUCUCAAUCCUUGCCUUUGUAAUUUGUUUUGUUUUGUUUUGUUUUGUUUUGUUUUUAAUUUUGAAAAUGGCUUAGUAUUCUUCAGUUAAACAAUUGAACUGAAGUGACUGUUCCUCAGACUGUAUACAUAGAAAACAUCUGAGUAGUAGUUGACAUUUUUAGUCGGGGCGUCUCCCCAUGGAUCUGUUUGUGCCUGAAUAAGCAUGCAUAGACUUAUUUCAGUUAAGGGAAUCAUGUAGUAUACAAAAAAUUAGAGGAUCCAUCUGCUGUAAAUAUUUUCUUUUACUCAGGUGAAGGAAGGUUUAUCAAAGGCUGUGUAUCAAAGGUUGUAGAUAUUACACCAUCCAUAGGAGAUAAUAUAUCAAGAAAGAUUCUGCAGGGAUGCAGAGAUUGACCUAAAUAUCCCCACACAAUUCUAAGCCAGGACGGACAAGAUAUCACUUCACGUGGAAAUUUAAAAUAAUCUGAUGCUAUGGUAUGUGGAGUGUUAAUAAAGAAAAACCACCUAAAAAGCAUAUGCAUAUAUAGAAGAUGCUAUUCAAAAAUAUACAGAGGCAGUUUGGAACCUACAUUUAGCACAAAGAGAUUGAAUCCCCACUUCACAGAUACUGAAUAGAACCACUGAGUAUUAAGAAAUCUAUAUUAGAAAUCACUUGCCUAUCACAUGUCUGUAUAACUAGGUAGUCACAGCAAACAUGACAUUCGGAAAGCAUAGCUUGAACUUGUCAACAAUGGAGGGAGUGCAUGUAGUGAACGAGGUUUGGGCAUGAAACUCAAAAGUCGAAAAUACCACUGAGAUUUGAGUUUUGAGGACAAUAAAUACUUAAUGACUUUUGGGACAAAAUUUGAAUCUAAAGACUCCUAAAAUUAUUUAUCAAUCAGCUCUGAAUCCCUAUGGAGAUUGGUGGAUAUUAUGAAUUUAGUCUGUGCCCCAGAGGUAUAGGUAAAUGGUGUAAUUUGAAGUGAUUAGGUAUGCUAAAGAGGCAUACAAAACUGAGGAGGCCAUGGUAUCAUUGAAUAAGUGUGCUUCUCCAAAACGUAGCAUGAUUUUUUGUGCAGUGAAUUAGACACUAUACACACACGCGCAUGCACACACAUAAACACACAGAUACACAUAUACACACAUACAGAAAAACACACACACAAACUCACACAAACACACACACACACACACACACAAAACCCACAAAUAAUUGACUUCCUCUGUGCUGUGUGUGGCAUGCUGGAAUUAUCCAAGAUAUGAAGAGUAUUCUCCACAAGUAAGUUAAACCCAAACUCAAUGAAAAAUUUAGAAUUCCUCCUCCUUUCUUGAGAAAGCAUUCUGUGCAUGAGUAAUGCUUACAUUUUAAAGUUUAAGAGGGAUGACUUGAAAACAGUAACUACUUAAUCCACGUUGAAACAGCAUUUCAGAGAUGUGUAGUGAUUUAAUUUUGAUUUUAUGAAACUGCAAUUUCUCAGGUCUCAUUAGUGCAGUAUUGAACCAUGUCAUUCUUAAACAUAACUGUAGGGACAGUAAGAGUUUGGAGAUUUCUCUAAGUUGAAAAACCUCAGAAAUCGUAUUAGCAACAACUUAAUUCAAAAAUGGAGAAACUUGUGCUUGGGUAAGGUCCGGUACCUAAGACUGAGCAGCUGGUUCAAAGCCAAGGACAAACAUUGCAUGUAACCAAGGACUGCUGGGUACAGAACCUGUUACUAAAAUGGAGAAAGCUGAAGUCUUCAGGAAAUAUGGAUAAGGAAUACUUGGAAUGGUAGAAAUUAUAUGCUAUAUAUUUAGUGGUACACACUGAGAGGAUGAAUUUUUGAAAUGUUUAUCUCCUUAGGAGUGUAAACAUUUGAGCUAAGUAAAUGCUGUAGCCUAGGUAGGAAAGGGAAGUGAGUUUCCAUUCAGACACUGGAAUUACCUUCAUGCCGAACAUAAACAUGGGAGGGUUUCAAAGAAAUGUUGAAGCAUAUCAAGAGCUUCUGAGCAUCCAGGAGGAGUCUGAGAGGAUUAAUUUGUUCUUGUUAUGAGGGAUUUUCUAGUUUAUUGUUGGAAAUCCAUCAGGAGAAGUUCAAAGUCUAGAAACCAAAUUCUAUACAAGUCUCAUAUUAGCUUUGGAAGACUGUGACCUGUAAAGGCCUCAAAAAGGCAUAGCUAGAUUCACCUGUUAAAAUGUAUUACAAUUGGUGACUGACUGCCUUUCCACUAUGUUCCCAAGGCCAGCCGCAAGGUACGACUGUGGUGCUAAACCUUCGGCUGGAGAAUUCUGCUUAGCUUAAUUACUGUGUUUUGUUUUUGGUUUGAGUUGUGUUUGCUUCAGGUAUUAGUACUGUUGGUUUGGUUGGAAGUUUUGUUAUUCAUUCUUAAUAAAUUUUUGUUCUUUUGGUGAAUUUGCAGUUUUGAUAACAUCAUGCACAUUGGGUUAUGAUUGUAUCAUUAAACCCUUUUUGAAAAAAAAUUAAUAUAUAUUUUUCAGAAUAAAAUGUGUUUUUCAACUCAUAAGAAACAAGUUUUUUCUUGUGUCGUGUUGCACCCUGUAAUCCCAGAAACCAUAUGUAGAGAUAGAUGACUAAAAUUUGCAGGGUGUGGGAUUCACAAU